GACACCAUAGCCAAGUCGAGCGGUAGCACACCCGCUAGCUUGCUCCCUGGGUGACGAGAGGUUAAAGGGUGAGUAAUGUCUGGGAAACUGCCUGAUGGAAGGGGAAAACUACUGUGAACCGUAUCUAAUACCGCAUAUUGUCGCAAGAGCUCUGGGGGGACCUUCGGGCCUCUUGCCAUCAGAUGUGCCCAGAUGGGAUUAUGUAGUAGGGGGGGUGGUGGAUCACCUAGGCGACGAUCCCUAGAUGGGCUGAGAGGAUGACCAGCCCCGCUGGAACUGAAACACGGACAAUACUCCUACGGGAGGCAGCGGUGAGGAAUAUUGCACGAUGGGCGCAAGCCUGAUGCAACCCUGCCGCGUGGGUGAAGAACGUCUUCGGGUUGUAAACUUCUUUCAGCGAGGAGGAAGGUGGUGAACUUAAUACAUUCAUCACUUGACGUUACUCCCAGACAAAGCACCGGCUAACUCCGUGCCAGCAACCGCGGUAAUACGUAGGGGGCAAGCGUUAAUCGGAAUUACUGGUGGUAAAUCGCACGCAAGCGGUUUGUUAAGUCAUAUGUGAAAUCCCCGGGCUCAGCCUGACUACUGCAUUUGAAACUGGAAAGCUAUUCCCUCGGAAAGGGGGAUAUAAUUCCAGGUGUAGCGGUGCCAUGCUUACAAAUCUGGAUCAAUACCGGUGAACUAAGCCGCACCCUGGACAAUACUGAAGCUCACGCGCUUAAGCGUGGUGAGCAAACACGAUUAAAUACCCUGGUACUCCACGCUGUAAACCAUGUCAAAUUUGCAGGGUGUGCCCUUGAGGUUUGGCUUCCGGACCUAACGAGUUAAUCGACCGCCCUGAGAUGUACGGUCCUUAGGGUAGAACUCCAAUGAAUUGGCGGGCGGC
This 886-nucleotide ribosomal RNA is filed under the name Serratia sp. p5-8+3. Its description in RNAcentral is "bacterial SSU rRNA". It matches the Rfam family "Bacterial small subunit ribosomal RNA", at positions 50 to 921 of the family's 1533-position model. The record is from RNAcentral. Lineage: Bacteria; Pseudomonadati; Pseudomonadota; Gammaproteobacteria; Enterobacterales; Yersiniaceae.